GAGAGGACGACCAGCCACACUGGGACUGAGACACGGCCCAGACUCCUACGGGAGGCAGCCGUGGGGAAUUUUUCGCAAUGGGGGCAACCCUGACGAAGCAAUGCCGCGUGGAUGAAGAAGGCCUCGGGUUGUAAAGUCCUUUCGUGGAGGACGAAAAGGUGGGUUCUUAAUACAAUCUGCUAUUGACGUGAAUCCAAGAAGA
Molecule: ribosomal RNA, 202 nt
Filed under: uncultured bacterium
Lineage: Bacteria
Description: partial 16S ribosomal RNA
Rfam family: Bacterial small subunit ribosomal RNA
Source: RNAcentral